CCCUACAGAUAUCUUUUAUUUUGCCUUUCUGUAAGCACAGAACUCUACAUUGGAAGUUAUAUUCUUUAAUGGUGACCUUCCAUAAUCUUUGGAUUCUCUUAUUUUUGUCAAGAAGUCAAUUGUUAGUCUUAUUCUCGCUUCUUUGGAUAUAUUUCUAUUUUCUUUGUCUGCUUUUUUAGAAUUUUUCUAGAAUUUUGAUUUUGACUUUAACGUUGGACUUGAUUCUGGUUUUUCUUGUUUCUGGUUUUUCUUGGGGUUUAGUAAUUCCUGAAUCUGUGAUCGAAGACUCCUACCAAUUUGGGACAUUUUCCAGCCAUUAUCUCUUUAGAUAUUGCAUUCCUCUCUUUCCAGUUGCUCAUUUCUUAGGCCUUUUUAUUGUGUCCUGUAUGUCUUUUAUGAUCUUUUUUGUAAUUUCUAUCAUUUUUCUCCUUAAGUUUCAGCUUAUAUGUUUGUAAUGGCACUACCCUCUCUUCCUACCUUUUCUUCUACUUUGUUCCAUCUGCAUUUCAGCACAUCUAUUGAGUUCAUCAUUUCAGUAGUCACAUUUUUUAUUUCUUGUAUUGAUUCUUUUUUACUGUUGUCAGUUCUUUGCUAUAAUUGUCUACCUUGUCAUUUAUUUUUUGAACAUGUUAAUCACAGUAAUAAUAUAUUGCAUGUCCAAAAAUUAUAAUAUCUCAGUCAUCUUUGAGUCUGGUUUCUUUACUUCAUUUGGGACAGCCUUGUAUCUUGGCUUGCCUGAUACAUUUUCAUUAAAUGCUAAAUACUGUCCAUGCUAAAUUAUAGCAUUUCUGUUGAGAACUGAACCAGCUCAAGGUUGGGUUACAGUUUUUGUAAGGCUUCUAAUUUGUCUCCACUCAUACGCUAUAGCUCUCCUGAAAUGUCAGCUGAAAUCCUACAGUAUUUACUAGGGUCCAUACUCCUUCGUAGGUUGUCAUUGGUACCAUAUGACUGCUAAAAAUACUACUCUGCCUUUUAGAGAUCCUUUGCUUACUGUCUUGCCUUCUUGUUCUGUAACAUUACAAAUUUAACAAAUACCUCAAAGGAGAAGACCCUGAGUGUCAGGCUUACUCCACUAUGUUUCCUUCUCUUCUAGAACAGGACACCUCAAUUCUAACUGCCUUGGCAGCCCCAAAAUUCAAUUUUUGUCUCAGCAACCCUGGAGAUUGUCAAACGCUCUAUUGGCUUCUCUACCUCUUAUUAAAAGCCCUCUUCCUAGAUUCUCAACAUCUAACCAAGCACCAAAAAUCUGCAAAUGCCCUGAGGGGAAGAUCAACUUUUAAAAUGUCAGCCUAGCUCUUUCUACUCCCAGGGAUCUGAUCUUAUCAAGUCUUGGCUACCUUGACAGCGCUCUCAUACCCCCUUUAUUGUUCUUUUAUUUUUAUAGCUUUUCUAGCUGUAUGGGAAGUUGUAUAGGAAGUGGUUUGUCACAAGCUAUGGCAUUAGAGCCAAAUCAAAGUUCAUAGUCAAUAUUUUUAAUUACAAAUAUAUGGCCCAACAAAGUCAAGUGUUAUAUAAGGUUCUUAAAUGAUUUAGCAAUACCAGCAUCCGUAACCUCCUUUGAGAAUGGCUGGGUGCAGUGAUUUAUGUAAGAUCCCAAAGUUAGAGCCAAAAACUGUAGCAGAAUCCAACCUCUUGAACCCCAGUAUAGUCUAAUCUGUUCUAUACCACAUUGACUCACUUAUUUGCAGCAGUGAUUCUCAACCAGGAGCAAUUUUUCUCCUCCCUUUUGGUUGUCAGAGCUGGGUGGGCAGUAGAGAAUGAGGGAAUUCAACUGGCAUCUAGUGGAUAGAGGCCAAAGAUGACAUU
Long non-coding RNA from Mustela erminea (ermine), 1806 nucleotides. RefSeq lists it as uncharacterized. The record is from RefSeq and is a predicted model, not a curated record. Lineage: Eukaryota; Metazoa; Chordata; Mammalia; Carnivora; Mustelidae. The transcript has 2 exons.